Molecule: non-coding RNA, 456 nt
Organism: Pelobates cultripes (western spadefoot toad)
Lineage: Eukaryota; Metazoa; Chordata; Amphibia; Anura; Pelobatidae
Source: the annotation of a GenBank genome assembly
GUUAGGGGGUAUUUGAGGACUGGGUUUGGAACCAUGGCUCUACACGAAUAGUGUAGGUAUGUGAUGGUUUCCAGCAACAUUUGUGAAACUGCUUUUCUACCUUUUAUUAACUGUUUUUUCUUUGAAGGUCAAUAGUAACGUUUGAUUCUUGUGGAUCAAUCUCUAUGUUUUAAAUACAUGUAUGUUGAACAAAUCAAUAGUCAUUGUGACAUUUAAAUAGAUCAAGCUAAAUAAAAUUGAAACAUUUAUAUUUUACUUAUGAAUUUUACAUUACAAUUUGUAAAUGAUGGCUAAACAGCAUUUUAAAAAUGGGGACCAAUAACAACCUUGCUGUAAAAUGAAACAUCAAUUCUAUAAUGAAGGUUUUGCAUGUAGUUCUUUUAAUGAGUGAGUUUUAUAUAUGUAUUUCUAUUAAGUAAAAGUGUAGCAAUUAAUUUAUUACAGCACAACGUUAUU